UGUACACACCGCCCGUCGCACCUACCGAUUGAAUGUUUCGGUGAAGAUUCCGGACUGUGGCUCGCGUGCUUCACGGCGCUCUUGCCGUGGGAAGUUAUCUAAACCUCAACAUUUAGAGGAAGGUGAAGUCGUAACAAGGUUUCCGUAGGUGAACCUGCGGAAGGAUCAUUA
Molecule: ribosomal RNA, 171 nt
Filed under: Saccharina religiosa
Lineage: Eukaryota; Phaeophyceae; Laminariales; Laminariaceae
Description: partial 18S ribosomal RNA
Rfam family: Eukaryotic small subunit ribosomal RNA
Source: RNAcentral